Molecule: ribosomal RNA, 253 nt
Filed under: uncultured bacterium
Lineage: Bacteria
Description: partial 16S ribosomal RNA
Rfam family: Bacterial small subunit ribosomal RNA
Source: RNAcentral
CACGUAGGGGACGAGCGUUGUCCGGAUUCAUUGGGCGUAAAGCGCGCGUAGGCGGCUCGGAAAGUCGGUCGUGAAAUGCCGGGGCUCAACCCCGGGACUGCGUCCGAUACUCCCGAGCUGGAGGCAGGUAGGGGAGAUCGGAAUUCCUGGUGUAGCGGUGAAAUGCGCAGAUAUCAGGAGGAACACCGGUGGCGAAGGCGGAUCUCUGGGCCUUGCCUGACGCUGAGGCGCGAAAGCCAGGGGAGCGAACGGG